GACGAACGCUGGCGGCGUGCUUAACACAUGCAAGUCGAACGGAAAGGCCCUGCUUUUGUGGGGUGCUCGAGUGGCGAACGGGUGAGUAACACGUGAGUAACCUGCCCUUGACUUUGGGAUAACUUCAGGAAACUGGGGCUAAUACCGGAUAGGAGCUCCUGCUGCAUGGUGGGGGUUGGAAAGUUUCGGCGGUUGGGGAUGGACUCGCGGCUUAUCAGCUUGCUGGUGGGGUAGGGGCUUACCAAGGCUUUGACGGGUAGCCCGCCUGAGAGGGUGACCGGGGACAUUGGGACUGAGAUACGGCCCAGACUCCUACGGGAGGCAGCAGUGGGGAGUAUUGCACAAUAGGCGGAAGUCUGAUGCAGCAGCGCCGCGUGCGGGAUGACGGCCUUCGGGGUGUAAACCGCUGUCGCCGGUGACGAGGCGUGAGUGACGGUAAUGGGUAAAGAAGCACCGGCUAACUACGUG
This 468-nucleotide ribosomal RNA is filed under the name uncultured bacterium. Its description in RNAcentral is "partial 16S ribosomal RNA". It matches the Rfam family "Bacterial small subunit ribosomal RNA", at positions 28 to 507 of the family's 1533-position model. The record is from RNAcentral.